AGUGAACGCUGGCGGUAGGCCUAACACAUGCAAGUCGAACGGCAGCACAGUAAGAGCUUGCUCUUACGGGUGGCGAGUGGCGGACGGGUGAGGAAUACAUCGGAAUCUACUUUUUCGUGGGGGAUAACGUAGGGAAACUUACGCUAAUACCGCAUACGACCUACGGGUGAAAGCAGGGGAUCUUCGGACCUUGCGCGACUGAAUGAGCCGAUGUCGGAUUAGCUAGUUGGCGGGGUAAAGGCCCACCAAGGCGACGAUCCGUAGCUGGUCUGAGAGGAUGAUCAGCCACACUGGAACUGAGACACGGUCCAGACUCCUACGGGAGGCAGCAGUGGGGAAUAUUGGACAAUGGGCGCAAGCCUGAUCCAGCCAUACCGCGUGGGUGAAGAAGGCCUUCGGGUUGUAAAGCCCUUUUUUUGGGAAAGAAAAGCAGCAGGUUAAUACCCCGCUGUUCUGACGGUACCCAAAGAAUAAGCACCGGCUAACUUCGUG
This 492-nucleotide ribosomal RNA is filed under the name uncultured bacterium. RNAcentral describes it as "partial 16S ribosomal RNA". It matches the Rfam family "Bacterial small subunit ribosomal RNA", at positions 29 to 507 of the family's 1533-position model. The record is from RNAcentral.